GAUGAACGCUAGCGGCAGGCCUAACACAUGCAAGUCGAGGGAGAAGCCUUCGGUCUUCGCCCGUCGUACGGGUGCGUAACGCGUAUACAAUCUGCCUUUCACAUACCGUUAGCCCGAAGUAAUUUGGAUUAAUACCUACUGGUAUAUAGUUGUGGCAUCACCUUUAUAUUAAAGCUGAGGCGGUUACAGCUGAGUAUGCUUUCUAUUAGCUAGUUGGAGAGGUAACGGCUCCCCAAGGCGACGAUAGAUAGGGGUUCUGAGAGGGAUAUCCCCCACACUGGUACUGAGAUACGGACCAGACUCCUACGGGAGGCAGCAGUGAGGAAUAUUGGACAAUGGUCGGAAGACUGAUCCAGCCAUGCCGCGUGCAGGAAGACGGCCUUAUGGGUUGUAAACUGCUUUUGCAGGGGAAGAAUAAGGACUACGCGUAGUUUGAUGACGGUACUCUGCGAAUAAGCAUCGGCUAACUCCGUG
This 474-nucleotide ribosomal RNA is filed under the name uncultured bacterium. Its description in RNAcentral is "partial 16S ribosomal RNA". It matches the Rfam family "Bacterial small subunit ribosomal RNA", at positions 28 to 507 of the family's 1533-position model. The record is from RNAcentral.